This 449-nucleotide ribosomal RNA is filed under the name uncultured bacterium. RNAcentral's name for it is "partial 16S ribosomal RNA". It matches the Rfam family "Bacterial small subunit ribosomal RNA", at positions 29 to 523 of the family's 1533-position model. The record is from RNAcentral.
AACGAACGCUGGCGGCAUGCCUAACACAUGCAGGUCGAACGAAGCCUUCGGGCUUAGUGGCGCACGGGUGCGUAACGCGUGGGAAUCUGCCCUUUGGUUCGGAAUAACAGUUGGAAACGACUGCUAAUACCGGAUGAUGACGAAAGUCCAAAGAUUUAUCGCCAGAGGAUGAGCCCGCGUAGGAUUAGCUAGUUGGUGUGGUAAAGGCGCACCAAGGCGACGAUCCUUAGCUGGUCUGAGAGGAUGAUCAGCCACACUGGGACUGAGACACGGCCCAGACUCCUACGGGAGGCAGCGGUGGGGAAUAUUGGACAGUGGGCGAAAGACUGAUCCAGCAAUGCCGCGUGAGUGAUGAAGGCCCUAGGGUUGUAAAGCUCUUUUACCCGGGAUGAUAAUGACAGUACCGGGAGAAUAAGCCCCGGCUAACUCUGUGCCAGCCGCCGCGGUAA